UACGUAGGGUGCGAGCGUUGUCCGGAAUUAUUGGGCGUAAAGCGCACGUAGGCGGUCUAGCAAGUCGGGUGUGAAAGCCCUCAGCUUAACUGAGGAAGUGCAUUCGAAACUACUAGGCUUGAGUACUGAAGAGGACGACGGAAUUCCCGGUGUAGAGGUGAAAUUCGUAGAUAUCGGGAGGAACACCAGUGGCGAAGGCGGAUCUCUGGGCCAUUACUGACGCUGAGGAGCGAAAGCGUGGGGAGCGAACAGG
RNAcentral lists this ribosomal RNA (253 nucleotides) under uncultured bacterium. Its description in RNAcentral is "partial 16S ribosomal RNA". It matches the Rfam family "Bacterial small subunit ribosomal RNA", at positions 524 to 776 of the family's 1533-position model. The record is from RNAcentral.